Molecule: ribosomal RNA, 253 nt
Filed under: uncultured bacterium
Lineage: Bacteria
Description: partial 16S ribosomal RNA
Rfam family: Bacterial small subunit ribosomal RNA
Source: RNAcentral
UACGAAGGGGGCUAGCGUUGUUCGGAAUUACUGGGCGUAAAGGGCGCGUAGGCGGUCCUGAUCGUCGGAUGUGAAAGGCCUGGGCUCAACCUGGGAAUGGCAUCCGAUACGGCGGGACUGGAGUGUGGGAGAGGUUGGUGGAAUUCCCAGUGUAGAGGUGAAAUUCGUAGAUAUUGGGAAGAACACCAGUGGCGAAGGCGGUUGCCUGGAGCUUUGCUGACGCUGAUGCGCGAAAGCGUGGGGAGCGAUCCGG